This 493-nucleotide ribosomal RNA is filed under the name uncultured bacterium. Its description in RNAcentral is "partial 16S ribosomal RNA". It matches the Rfam family "Bacterial small subunit ribosomal RNA", at positions 30 to 523 of the family's 1533-position model. The record is from RNAcentral.
AUUGAACGCUGGCGGCAUGCUUUACACAUGCAAGUCGAACGGUAACAGGUUAAGCUGACGAGUGGCGAACGGGUGAGUAAUGCAUCGGAACGUGCCCGGUCGUGGGGGAUAACGCAGCGAAAGCUGCGCUAAUACCGCAUACGAUCUGAGGAUGAAAGCGGGGGACCGUAAGGCCUCGCGCCAUCGGAGCCGCCGAUGUCAGAUUAGGUAGUUGGUGGGGUAAAGGCCCACCAAGCCGACGAUAUUGAGCUGGUCUGAGAGGACGACCAGCCACACUGGGACUGAGACACGGCCCAGACUCCUACGGGAGGCAGCAGUGGGGAAUUUUGGACAAUGAGCGAAAGCCUGAUCCAGCAAUGCCGCGUGCAGGAAGAAGGCCUUCGGGUUGUAAACUGCUUUUGUACGGAGCGAAAAGGUCCUUUCUAAUACAAGGGGCUCAUGACGGUACCGUAAGAAUAAGCACCGGCUAACUACGUGCCAGCCGCCGCCGUAA